CUUGUCAUUUGUGAAUUUGUAAACAUAGGUUCCAUGUUGUGUUAUUGCUGUUCAUUUCCUAAUAUUUUAAUGAUUAGACUUGGAAAACCAAAAACUUAGCUAGCCCUGAUGAUGAUAAUAAAAGUUAUCGAAACUGUCGGCAACUAAAUAAAUUGGUUUUUGUCAUCUUCAGACCUUAAACCCAUUAAAAACUCAACUUAUAUU
This is a long non-coding RNA of Coccinella septempunctata (seven-spotted ladybird), 204 nucleotides long. RefSeq lists it as uncharacterized. The transcript has 2 exons. The record is from RefSeq and is a predicted model, not a curated record. NCBI's taxonomy places the organism in Eukaryota, Metazoa, Arthropoda, Insecta, Coleoptera, Coccinellidae.